GCCCACCCUUUGAUAACGGGAGCAUCCAUUCAGCCAGCAUAAACCGGCCUUGCUUGUUGCCACCAAGCAAGUCCUGUCUAUGGUGGACUGGGUACCAACGGAAGCGCAGACGACGACAAGCAAAUUUUACUUGCGUGGCGAGCUACAGGAGGGGGAGGUUUUUCAACUGAAACACAUUGUUUGCACAUAGGUAGGAGGCAUCUCAUCUCAGGACAAUUUGUAUGUUUAUUGUUAUUACAGAUAGGUACACACAAAGCAUAUGUAUGCUGGAUAGAUAUUCGGUGUGAGUUGUUGCAAUGCAAGAUUCAUCAUCUUAAUUUACGAGAUACGUGUGAUGGUCGAUGUGAUAGUCCUAGUUUCCUCGGUGGCGAGGAACGCUGAGUUUCCUUUUGCUGCAGUUAUGUGAUGUAUACCCUGAGAACUUUGGGGGUGAUAUGAUGGAUGUUUAUCAGUUUCAUGAUAAAUGAAAUUGGUAUGGAUUGUUUCUUCUUCAUUGAGGCAUGCAUGCAUUUAGCUGUUUUAUUUCAACGUUGUAGUAAUUGUUUGGCCUGUCUGGCGCCAAUGUAUUUUGCAGAGGCACUGGAGAUGUUGGCUCAGUGGUUAUCUUUCUUUCAGUUCUUUUGAGCUGCUGGCUGUGCAGAAACGGCUGCAGUGAAAAUAAGCUCUUGAAAAAGUUGUAGUAUACACUAGUUAUUUUCAGCUUCAGAGAUGUUUGGGAAGGCACCUUACCCCUAUAAACUCUCCACUGUCAAGGUCAUUCUGCAGCAAAAGUGUUCUUCACUCUGUUUUUCGUUGCAAGAUUCAGUCUCCAGACAGGUUUCCACACGUUUGCCUUUGAUCUCCACGGCCUGCAAUCUGCGGGGAAUCCAGCACAGGAAUGAAUGUAAGACGACGCCGUGGCAAAUAAACUGGGGGUUUCUCAAGAACAGAGAGCAGAGUGCGCGGCCUGAAUUUCUCAACUUGGCAAGAGCCAAAAGAACACUGGCGGAAUAAGCGUCCUCCGACCUCACCGCCGUCAACCUCAUGGCCGGCGCCGUCUCUGAGGUCGAAUGCCACCGUCCUUGGCGCCGGGUCGAACGCCACCGCCGUCGAGCGCACCCGCCUUUUGCUCUCUUGUCCCUCCGACCCACUCCCUAUCUAUCAUCAUGUCAGAAAUACAGUCAAACUGUCUGCAUCCAACGCCGAUUGUUUACCCCUUGCGCAGCUGCGCGACGCGCCAAUCGCAAACAUAAUAAACUACUUCCCCUCCGUCGACAAUGUCGAAUCACGUCACGCCCGCAUGGUCCAACCGCGGAUUCUUGUCGACUCCGGCAUCCUACACCAAUAACCAUCUACCAAAAGCUCCACGGUAAACAGCAGACGCCACAAGGACACAGUCACACAGAGGAGGUGGGUGCAGCCGAUGGCCGCGCAGCGCUCCGGCGCGGGGGGCGUGGCCGCCGGCGACGACGACGCGGACCGAGCCCGGCUGCGCCAGCUCGGCUACAAGCAGGAGCUCAAGCGCGGCCUCGGCGUGGUCUCCAACUUCGCCUUCUCCUUCUCCAUCAUCUGCGUCAUGGCCGGCGUCACCACCACGUACAACGCCGGCCUGAGGUACGGCGGGCCGGCGUCCAUGACCCUCGGCUGGCUGGUGGUGGCCUUCUUCAACGGCUGCGUCGCCCUGUCCAUGGCGGAGAUCUGCUCGGCCUACCCGACCUCCGGCGGGCUCUACUACUGGAGCGCCAAGCUCGCCGGCGAAGAGUGGGCGCCUCUUGCUUCCUGGAUCACCGGCUGGUGUGUGACUGUGUACUCUCUUACCUUAGUUUCAUCAUCAUGGGAUUUUCUCAUCUUUUUUUCAAGACUGUUUUCAGAUUAUUGACAUGGCAUCAUACUAUAUGAUUUGGUAAUUUGGUCCACAAUAUCUCUGAAGUCUAUAUCUUAAUAGUACAAUAUUGAAUUGCAUGCCAAAAGCUCGAGCAGACGGUGUGUGACUGUGUGUCUUACCUUAGUUGAGAUUUUUUGAUCAUUUUUAGAAGACUGUUUUUCGGAUUAUUGACAUGGAGUCAUGUGUGGAAACUAGUACACGAUUUGCCAGUUUGGUCGCCGAUAUCUAUGAGGUUUUUUUAAUAUAAAAUAUCAAUCAAUCAAUAUAUCUCAGUACAAUAUUGAAUGGUCAUCCCUAUGCCCCCACACCUUCUCUUCUUUCUCGGGCGCCGGCAGCCCCCCUCCCCCCUCAUUCCGUCCCGUCACCCUCUGACUCCCCUCCACUGGCAACACCGCUGCCGCGUUGUCUCCGGCUCGGUUUCGAAUCUACACCUCCCAUUCUCCCCGGAAUCAUCUUUUCCGAAUUGAAAAUGCAGACAACCUACACAUAGCAAACACGAUAUUGAAUUGCACGUCCAUUCAAAAGCUUGAGCCGACGUGAUAUGGUUUAACAAACGAUAGUCAUUAUUUAGUUCCACUUUUUGUGUUACUCCAACGAUCCAAUCACGUUGGUGGUCUAUGUUUUUAUCUCAUGUUCCAUUUUACCUUUUGCAGGUUCAACCUUGUGGGCCAGGUAUGCUCAAACAUGUUGGAGGUCUAUUUGGUUCAAAGCGGAUAUGAUGCACCCAUAUGACAAACCUCCUAACAAUCCGAUCUCUUGUCUAAACUCUUCUAGUGGGCUCUCACCACCAGCACGGACUUCUCGCUGGUGCAGCUUGUCCAAGUGAUCAUCUUGCUUGGCACCGGUGGAGCCAACGGUGGCGGCUACAUGGCCUCCAAGUACGUUGUUCUGGCCGUCCACGGCUCCCUCCUCGUCCUGCACGGGCUCAUCAACAGCCUCCCCAUCCGGUGGUUGUCCUGGUUCGGCCACCUCGGUGCAUUUUGGAACACUGCAGGUAUAUAAUCAUUCUGAGGGUUACGACAUUUGGCAUCAAUCGAUGCAGAGGUCGAGAGGGUCUUUUCUUCUUCAGAAGAUGAUGCAUUUGAACAUAUGACAAUGUGAUUAUCGAUCAACUUAUUGUUCUUCAACUUAGCAUAUGUUAACAAUGUUAGGUGCCUUUGUCCUGGUGAUCAUGAUUCCGGUUGUUGCCAAGGAAAGAGCGAGUGUUGAGUUCAUCUUUACACAUUUCAACACGGACAAUGGCAUGGGGAUCCAUGACAAGGCCUACAUUUUGGCGCUAGGGCUUCUAACGAGCCAAUACUCAUUGCUCGGCUAUGAUGCAUCGGCUCACAUGGUACACAUCUCCUCCUGUCCCAAUACCGGUACCUACUCAUGUUGAUGGUUAUUUGUCUUAUCUGCUUGCGCAUAUAUAUGUGCUCGAGUGCAGCUAUAUUGCCUCAAUGUCACAUUUGGGUCAACAAAGCUCACAUUAUCGGGAAUAAAUGUGCAGAUUGAGGAAACGAAGAACGCGGAUUGGAGUGGUCCGAUCGGGAUCAUCACAUCCGUUGCUCUCUCGACCGUGUUUGGUUGGAUCUUCCUUGUGGCUCUAACAUCCAUUGUGACGAACAUACCAUACCUGCUAGACCCUGGCAAUGAUGCUGCCGGGUACGCCGUUGCGCAAGCGCUUUACACUGCCUUCCACCGAAGGUAUGGCAGUGGGGUUGGAGGGCUCGUCUGCACAGGCAUCGUCGCGUUCGGCAUCUUCCUCGCGGGUGUCGCGUGUGUCGCCAGCAAUUCAAGGUUUGGUAGCGAUUGCACUACAUAACAGUUGACAUAUUAGUGUUGAUAUUUCUUGCGUUGCAAAUUAUUCGAUAUCAAAGUCAAAUUUCUCUAUGUUUGACCAAUUCUAUAGAAGAAUCAUAGUAAUAUAUCUACAACAUCAAAUUUAAAUAGUAAAAAAAAAUCAUAUUUUAUUCUGAAUCUAAUGAAACUAAUUUGGUCUUGUAGUUGCUGAUAUUUUUUGAUAAACUUGGUCAAACUUUGCAAUUUUUAUUUAUGACAAAUCCAUAAUAAUUUGGAACCUAAUGACUAUUUGCUAAGUUGUUAUCACAUUUCGAUAUAGGAUGGGCUAUGCCUUUUCGAGGGACAAGGCGAUGCCCUUCUCGCACGUGUGGCACCGGGUGAGCAGGAACGAGGUGCCUCUCAAUGUUGUGUGGCUCUGUGUGGUUGUCGCCUUCAUAAUGGCUCUCACGGUGCGUAAUACCUCUGCCAUCUCGAUCUCGACUCGAAGCACCAAACCUUUACAACAUGAACGCAUGAUUCGUGUCAAGGACUUGCUACCACACCUAAAAUUUCACGUUCCUAUUUUUGUGUGUGUUUCUUGUCUUCGUAUGCAGUCUCUCGGAAGCCAGGUGGCAUUCCAAGCAAUGGUGUCGAUUGCGACACUAGGGCAGUACAUCUCCUACGUGCUACCCAUCUUCUUCCGUGUGACGACGGCCCGGAGGUCAUUCAGCCCAGGGCCAUUCCACCUAGGGAGGUACAGUAUUGUCAUCGGCUGGGCAGCAGUCCUCUGGGUGGCCUUGCUCACCGUGCUCUUCUCAUUGCCUGUGGCGUACCCAAUCGCCAAGGACAACUUCAACUACACGCCGGUGGCCGUCGGUGGUGUGCUACUGCUCAGUGUCGGCUCAUGGGUGCUCCAUGCCCGGUUCUGGUUCAAAGGACCCAUAGUAAAUGUUGACAUGUAGAAUUUUGUGCAUUGUAAACUUUAGUUUAUUUGAUAUGUGGUGGAUGAGUUUACACAUGGAGCUGUAUUACCAAGAAGGCUCUUUAGGUAGGUUGAUCGUUCGGACAAUUUGGCAUAGUGUACUCUAUGGACGUGCAAAGAGUAUCUAGUCAAUGGUUUAGAAAACCAAUAUUCGGCAAUGAUAAAAUUUACCAAAACAUGGCGAUUUUUGAAGGGUGCUGCUGCCCCUCUCCGGAGCGCACACACAUGGGGGACAGGGCAGAUAUGUCCACAAUGAAACAGUCGAGAGGGAUUUCUGGCCACAUUGACAAAGCCGAAGGAUGAAGAUGAUGCGGGGAGAGGCAUCCAACAGUGUGGGGAUGCCUCUAUCAAAAAAGUUGCAUGGCGACCGGCCGAAAUUUAAAGCGCCUAGCGUUGGCCGAAUGCUUAAGGCAUGUCGCGUCGACUCAUUCCUUCCAACAGAUACACCUCGAUGACAAAAUUAUUGACUUGGGUACUCUAUCACCAUCACCCGCGCCAUCUUCAGGGGCACAAAAUCUAAUUAACACUCGACAUUCUUUUUCUUCUCAGAUAAACAUAUGCAAUUCCUAGUCCAAGUCCAAGAUCCAGGACCAACCAGAUGACAGAGGAAAGAUCAACCUUUCAAACGAUCCUGUUAUAUUAUCCUACCACUCCCCGUCAUGGGGAUCAGAGUCAAACUCGUAUCUUCUUUCUUUGAGAAACAAACAAUGGCGGCCGGCGAUAUUUGUGCAUGUGGCUGCGCUACGUGACAACUAAUCAUAAAUUAUCUCCUUGGCGUCAACAAUGGCGGGUCACCCGAAAGGGACCUUGCCCGAAUGGUCCAAGCCGCGGACAGUUUCCACUUGCCACUCGCUCACUCUCUUGUUGACUCCCUGCUCACCGGAGACCGAGGAGCUCACUCGCUGGCAAAUGAAGAUAGGACGGCAACCUGCAGCCAAGUCAGGGGCGGCGGGUAGGGAGGGGAGCUAGAGCUAGAGACGGUCGAUGGCCGUGUCACGCUCCGGCGCGGCGGGCGUGGCCGCCGGCGGCGACACGACCGACGACGCCGACCGAGCGCGGCUGCACCAGCUCGGCUACAAGCAGGAGCUCAAGCGCGGCCUCUCGUACGCUGCUCUGCUUCACCAUCGUAUCAUCGGCGUUUGUGCGCAGCUCUAUCGUUGGAUUGAUUCUGGUGCUUUUCUUGGGCUCUGCGCAGCCUCAUGUCCAACUUCGCCUUCUCCUUCUCCAUCAUCUCCGUCAUGGCCGGCGUCACCACGACCUACAACGGCGGGCUGCGCUACGGCGGGCCGGCGUCCAUGACGCUCGGGUGGCUGGUGGUGGCGGCCUUCAACGGCUGCGUCGCGCUGUCCAUGGCGGAGAUCUGCUCCGCCUACCCGACCUCCGGCGGGCUCUACUACUGGAGCGCCAAGCUCGCCGGCAAGGAGUGGGCGCCCCUCGCCUCCUGGGUCACCGGCUGGUUCAACAUCGUCGGACAGGUAUGCCGCUGAAACUUGUACAUGGUGAUCACCUCCUGUUUUGACACGUUGCUGACAGUGUUAUAACUGUCCCAGUGGGCUGCUACCACGAGCACGGACUUCUCCCUGGCGCAGCUGGUCCAGGUGAUCAUCUUGCUCGGCACCGGCGGGGCCACCGGCGGCGGGUACACGGCCUCCAAGUACGUCGUGCUGGCCAUCCACGGCUUCUUCCUCGUCCUGCACGGCCUCAUCAACAGCCUCCCCAUCCGCUGGCUGUCCUGGUGCGGCAAGCUCGGCGCGUUCUGGAACACGGCGGGCGCGUUCACGCUGGUGAUCCUCAUCCCGGCGGUGGCCAAGGAGCGGGCGAGCGCCAAGUUCAUCUUCACGCACUUCAACGACGACAACGGCAUGGGGAUCCACGGCAAGGCCUACAUUCUCGCCCUCGGCCUCCUCACCAGCCAGUACUCUCUGCUCGGCUACGACGCCUCCGCUCACAUGGUACGCUGCUCCUCAUCCUAGCUAGAUUUCCAUGGAGUUUCGUGAAGAUCUAAUGACCGACCUUGGCAGAUUGAAGAGACGAAGAACGCGGACUGGAGCGGGCCGAUGGGGAUCAUCAGCUCGGUGGCCCUGUCGACCACGUUCGGGUGGAUCUUCCUGGUGGCGCUGACGUCGAUCGUGACGGACAUCCCGUACCUGCUCAGCCCGGACAACGACGCCGGGGGCUACGCCGUCGCCCAGGCCCUGUACGCCGCCUUCGACAGGAGGUACGGCAGCGGCGUGGGAGGGCUGGUCUGCGUCGGGGUAGUCGCCGUCGGCAUCUUCUUCGCCGGCGCCAUGUGCAUCGCCAGCAACUCGAGGAUGGGGUACGCCUUCUCGAGGGACAGGGCGAUGCCGCUCUCGCGCGUGUGGCUCCGCGUCAGCAAGAACGAGGUGCCCCUCAACGUCGUCUGGCUCUCCGUCGUCGUCGCCUUCGUCAUGGCCCUCACGGUGCGUGCUCAACGAGUUUCCGCCAUGAAUCUCCGAACACCCGACCAUGAUUUUUACAGCUGAUUUUCGUACGUGUGUGCGUGCAGUCGCUGGGGAGUCAGGUGGCGUUCCAGGCGAUGGUGUCGAUCGCGACGCUGGGGCAGUACAUCGCCUACGCGCUGCCCAUCUUCUUCCGGGUGACGACGGCGAGGAGGUCGUUCGUGCCGGGGCCGUUCCACCUCGGGAGAUACGGGGUCGCCGUCGGCUGGGCCGCCGUCCUCUGGGUGGCGUUCCUCACCGUGCUCUUCUCGUUGCCGGUGGCGUACCCGGUGGCCAAGGACAACUUCAACUACACGCCGGUGGCCGUCGGCGGCGUGCUGCUGCUCAGCGUCGGCGCAUGGGUGGUCAACGCCAGGUUCUGGUUCCAGGGGCCCAUCACCAAUGUCGACUUGUAGCUAGGGACCAAACAAGUCACGUGUAUCAUAGCUUCUCGUUUGGAACUUUGGAUUGUACAGUGUAUCUGUGGGUGUCGCUUCUCGUUUGAAACUUCGUUUCUUGUUUGAUACUCCACGUACUGCCAAAUCCACAAACGUAACCAAGAGGUCUGGGAAAAAAUCUACAAAAAAAAUGAUGAGAUGGGUACAACAUGUGUAAAUUAUAUCACCAAAUAUGAAAGACAUAGCUAUGAAUAGUAAUUAGUUCAAAGUGGGCCGCAAAAAAGUAAUUAGUUCAAAUUGGGCAAAACAUUCAGCCUGUGAACACAGUCAAUGCUUAACUAGUGUUUUUUUCUGUAAGUUUUUUCAUCAUGACACAUUUUGAUUUUGCAUAUGAAAUUUUAUGACAUGAUAAAUCGUUGUAGUAUCAAUUUGAUAUAGACCGAACCUUGAUGGCGAGAUCCGGACUGUUGUUGCGCCCGAUCUUUCAUGACACUCCUCCUUCAGCAACAGUAACCUCUCGCCCACACAAGCGAUGUACGUGAAGUAGAGGGAUUGAACUUUAUGGUCCAGCACGACAAAACUAAUCUCGACGAUGAUACUCACGCGCAAAACAAUUUCCUCGCAAAGAAAACGCAACACGAAGUUUUUCUAAAGCUUCCUCCAAAACUUAGGGAUUUUUUGACAGCUUCCCCCAAAACUUGAUACGGGUAUUUACCUUAAAUAAAGGACAAGGAUAACGCCCACAUGUGUGGUGGGAGCGAAACCCGCCCACACGCCCUAUAGCACACGAACUACGCCAUGUCACCGCAUGCAUGCAUGUGGAAAUCUUUUUAGAUUUUUUGUUUUUAAAAUGUUUUAUAUCUUAAAUGAAAAAUCCGAUUGAAGAUCCGUUUUCACCAUUAAAUCCCUCACGACGAGAUCUUCGAAACUAGAUCUCAUAUCAAUAUAUUUUGACAUUUUUUUGGUUAAAAGUUGCCGUGUCUAUUGCACAUGAAUUGCCAUGAUGUUUACAUUGAAGUUGCCAUGAUAUGUUUCAGCUAUUUUUUCUUCUACAUUUAAAAGUAAAUUUUGACAUAUUAUAAAACGGGGAAUUAAGAAACUAGACUUGCCAUGCACCAUAAAUUAAAAUUGCCAUGAUACAUGCACUUAAAAUUGCCAUGGUUCAUACAAAAGAAUAUUUUCAUGAUCAAAGUACUGGAAUUGCCAUGAUCUACAAACUAAAAUUGCCACAUGGCAACUUUAGUUUAAGCACUAUGUCAACUGCAGUGUAAACAUCAUGGUAACUUUUGGGUAAUUUUUUUUUUGUCGAAACAUAUCAACAUGGGGUCUAGUUUUGAAGAUCUCGUCGAGACGGAUUUAAUGGUGAAAACGGAUUUUUAAUUUGCUUUUUUAAUUAGGAGAUAAAACAUUUUUAAGCCGAAAACCAAAAAGAUUUCUGCUGAUGUCAUCUGUUCAUACGUGGCAAAAUGAAUGGUGAUGGAGGCGUGUGGCCGAUGUGCAAACGCCCACACGUGUGGGCUUAGUUUUUACAUAAAUAAAAACACAGCUUCCCCCAUAACUUUGUUUCUUGUUUGAUACUCCACGUACUCAAGUCAUGGGAAAAAAUCUAAAUAAAAUGAUGAGACAGGUACAACAUGUGUAGAUUAUAUCACAAAAAAAGUAUUGAAUCCAAAUAUGAAAGGUACAUAUGGAUAAAAGUAGAAAAUGGCUGCGAAUAGCAAUUAGUUCAAAUCGAGCAAAACAAUCAGCCUAUGAACACAAUCAAUGCUUGACUAGCGUUUUUGUGUGUGUUAUGCAUUGUUAUUUUGGAUCUGAAAUUUUAUGACAUGAUAUAUCAUUGUAGUAUCAGUGUCAUGAAUUUAUUUUUGCUAACUCCAUUGUUGUCGCUCUUAUGAGGCCCACUCACGGUGCAUCAUGGGCCUAGCACAGCGGUAGCAAAAGCAUCGUGUUCCCCUCUCCGACUCCUUGCCGAAAUGCCCUAGUUUGCUAAUGGGGACCGCUAAAAUUCAGUCGACUGAGUUUUAGUCAAGUCUCAGUCGACACUGUUAAGAUUCGUGUUUAGUAGUCGCUGGUGCGAUUCUACGUUUCUCGGAGGCUGCUUCCUUUCAAUCGCAUGCAUGCACGUGGGCUUCGCCCGUUAGCCAUUGUUUAGUUUAUUGUAUGGGCUUAUCUGGUCAUCGGGCCUCACAGGCUUGUUUGUUUUCUCAUUUUUAUUUUGUUUUUAUUGUGAAUGUUUUCCUUUUUGCGGCCGAUGCAGAGAGCAACUAGUUAACGAGCGUUCCUUCGGGAGCCUCUCAAAAAUGAAAAAAAAACAUGUUUUCUGUUUUUUUUGCGAGAGUCACGGUUUUGCUUCUGUGAGAGGCACGGGUCUGUUUUCACAAGAGUCAUGGCUGUGCCUCUCGGAAACGAAAAAAAUACGUUUUUUUUCUUUUUUUUCUUUUCGCGAGAGUCACGGUUUUGCUUCCGCGAGAGGUACGGUUGUGGUUUAGCGAGAGUCAUGGCCAUGCCUCUCGGAAACGAAAAAAAUACGUUGUUUUUUUUCUUUUCGCAAGAGUCACGGUUUUGCUUCCGCGAGAGGUACGGUUGUUCUUUCGCGAGAGUCACGGCCGUGCCACCCGGAAACGGAAAAAAUGCGUUUUCUGUUUUUUCUUUCUUUCGCGAGAGUUACGGUUUUGCUUCCGCGAGAGGCACGGUUGUGCUUUCGCGAGAGUCACGGCCGUGCCUCCUCGGAAACGAAAAAAAAUGCAUUUUCUCUUUUUUUUUCCUUCCGCGAGAGUCACGAUUUUGUUCCGCGAGAGGCACGGUUGUGAUUUAGUGAGAGGCACGAGCAUGCCUCUUUCGGAAAGGAAAAAAAACCCGUGCUCCCGAUUCAAUUUUUUCGUCUGUUUUUUUUUCAUAAAAAAAGUUUGUCAAAACCUAUCAUCAUGGAAUCUAGUUUGAAGAUCUCGACACGGGGAAUCCAACGAUGAAAGCGGUUCGAGAUUUGGACGCACAGUUUAAGAGAUAAAACGUUUUGAAUAAACAGAUAUACGAAAAAAAGGAAAAACUUCCAUGUUGCGACAAGUGUCGUGCUGCAUGCGCGCCACUUGUUAUAGCCUAGGUUGAAGUGAUCUUUACAAUAAGUACUCCUCAACUAGUGAUUUCAGCCGAUGCAUGCUGCUGAACUUUUACGUACCCAGCCGCCAUGCGUACAUAGUAUAUAAGAAAGCCUGUUUUGGUACGAUUUUUUUUCUGUUUUUUACUACAACGUUUUGCUAUAUUCUCUUUUCUGCUUUUAAAUUUAUUCUCUAUUUAUUUUUUGUUUUCAUUUCUGUUAUUAUUAUUAUUAUUAUUAUUAUUAUUAUUAUUAUUAUUAUUAUUCCAAAAACUAUUGCCACCUUGUUGCACAUACGUCUACAUUGAUCAAGCACAAUUACAUGUCUUUUCUCCUUGUGCAAUUUAUUUGUUUUUCUUUAUUGUCAUGGGCCACACGCUUCUAUAGCAUGGGGUCGCACAUCAUUCACACACAAUUGUAAUAAGCAUGUCGUUCGUGUGCAACUUAUUUUUUUCUUUUCAAAAAUAUUUGUCAUCGACCAAUUGAAAGUGUCGCCCCUAACUGCAACUCUGCAUGUCACUGCAAAUGUCAACACUGAUGUCAGAUUUCGGGUUCCGGCAAAACCCGUGAGGUUCGAACACUGGGGUGCGCACGAAGAUCUCUCCUCCGCUUUGCUCGCUCCCGCAACGAUCGCAAGGCCUAGCUCGACGAACCCAAAGAACGAGAGACACGAGAUUUAUACUGGUUCGGGCCACCGAUGUGGUGUAAUACCCUACUCCAGUGUGGUGUGGUGGAUUGCCUCAUGGGCUGAGGAUGAACUAGUACAAUCGGAAGAACAACCUCCUGAGGAGAGGUGCUCUUGUGCUUGGUGAGCUUGUGUGGAUGGGGAUGAUCUGAAUGAUCCGUCCCUUGCUACGAUGGUGGCUAGUCCUAUUUACAGAUGCCCUGGUCCUCUUCCCAAAUAUUGAGCGGGAAGGGAUGCCACAUCGGCCGAAUUCGAAGGAAGACAACUAGUACAAGUUAUCCUGACUAAAGGUGGUCUUCGCCUGCCAAAGGCUCUGGUGGUGACGCCGUCUUGGGCUCCACGGUGACCUCCGUCCUGCCGUCCUGCUGGUCUUGGUCUUGUUGCACCGAUAUGGCAACCUUUGCAUGAUGCCUCGGGACUCCUCGCCUGCGCUUGCCUCUUUAGCACCAAAGAGGAAAUGAGGACACUGCGCGCGCUGGCGCCCGCCUGGCCUUGGUCGUCAUGGCUUGCGUCACAGGAACCUCGCGAGGUGCCCCUUGCCUUGAUCUCUCCGCCCCUCGCGAGCCGGCCUGGUGAGGCCGACCCCGAGGAGGUCUUGCGUCGUCCUCCUCGCGAGGCUUGGCCCCUGCAACCUCUUGAGCUUGCGUUGGUUUUUCCCUUGAAGAGGAAAAGGUGAUGCAGCAAAGUAGCGUAAGUAUUUCCCUUAAUUUUUGAGAACCAAGGUAUCAAUCCAGUAGGAGGUUACACGCAAGUCGUCUUAUACCUGCAUAAACAAAUAAGAACCUUGCAACCAACACGAUAAAGGGGUUGUCAAUCCCUUCACGGCCACUUGCAAAAGUGAGAUCUGAUAGAGAUAAUAAGAUAAAUAUUUUUUGUAUUUUUAUGAUAUAGAUUGAAAGUAAAGAUUGCAAAGUAAAAAUAGAUUGGAAACUUAUAUGAUGGAAAAUAGACCCGGGGGCCAUAGGUUUCACUAGUGGCUUCUCUCAAGAUAGCAUAAGUAUUACGGUGGAUGAACAAAUUACUGUCGAGCAAUUGAUAGAAAUGUGCAUAAGUAUGAGAAUAUCUAGGCAUGAUCAUGUAUAUAGGCAUCACGUCCGUGACAAGUAGACCGAAACGAUUCUGCAUCUACUACUAUUACUCCACACAUCGACCGUUAUUCAGCAUGCAUCUAGAGUAUUAAGUUCAUAAGAACAGAGUAACGCAUUAGGCAAGAUGACAUGAUGUAGAGGGAUAAACUCAAGCAAUAUGAUAUAAACCCCAUCUUUUAUCCUCGAUGGCAACAAUACAAUACGUGCCUUGCUGCCCUGCUGUCACUGGGAAAGGACACCGCAAGAUUGAACCCAAAGCUAAGCACUUCUCCCAUUGCAAGAAAGAUCAAUCUAGUAGGCCAAACCAAACUCAUAAUUCGAAGAGACUUGCAAAGAUAACAAAUCAUACAUAAAAGAAUUCAGAGGAGAUUCAAAUAUUGUUCAUAGAUAAUCUUGAUCAUAAACCCACAAUUCAUCGGAUUUCGACAAACACACCGCAAAGAGAGUUACAUCGAAUAGAUCUCCAAGAAGAUCGAGGAGAACUUUGUAUUGAGAUCCAAAGAGAGAGAAGAAGCCAUCUAGCUAAUAACUAUGGACCCGAAGGUCUGUGGUAAACUACUCACACAUCAUCGGAGAGGCCAUGGUGUUGAUGUAGAAGCCCUCCGUGAUCGAUUCCCCCUCCGGCGGAGUGCCGGAAAAGGCUCCAAGAUGGGAUCUCACGGGUACAGAAGGUUGCGGCGGUGGAAAUAGGGUUUCGUGGUGCUCCUAGAUGUUUUCGGGGUUUAUGGGUAUAUAUAGGAGGAAGAAGUAGGUCGGUGGAGCUGCGAGGGGCCCACGAGGGUGGGGGGGCGUGCCCAGGGGGGCAGGCGCGCCUCCCUGCCUCGUGGCCUCCCCGCUUCUUUCUUGACGUCCACUCCAAGUCCCCUGGAUCACGUUUGUUCCAAAAAUAACUCUCCCGAAGGUUUCAGUCCGUUUGGAUACCGUUCGAUAUUCUUUUCUUGCGAAACACUGAAAUAGGCAAAAAAAUAGCAAUUUGCACUGGGCCUUCGGUUAGUAGGUUAGUCCCAAAAAUAAUAUAAAAGUGUAUAAUAAAGCCCAUUAAGCAUCCAAAACAGAUAAUAUAAUAGCAUGGAACAAUAAAAAAUUAUAGAUACGUUGGAGACGUAUCAGCCCCUCGCGAGGGUCUUGAGUGUUUGCUGGUGAAGGUGGGCCGUACAGGGCCGCUGGUGGAGCCACGCCGUGGGCCGCAGGCAGGCAAGUCUGGGGACCCCCGUUCCCAAGACGCCGACACCUGACUACAGAUCUGUGGUGCUUGUCGGUGGAGAGAGGGCAAUUCCAUGUCACUAGGCACGCAAACUGCAAGUGUCAUCCCCGAGUGCAAAUGCAUGUCUUCAGCGAGACCGCAACCAUGUGGUGUUUUAUCGAGGAGAGUACGGUUGCAUGUGUGCUACUAGGCAUGCAACUGCAAAUGUCACCUUCGGCUGCAACUUUCUAUUGUUUGUCGGUGGGGAGAGUGUUGGGGGGGCGUAGCAUGCAAUUUCAAAAAAAUUCCUAAGCUCACGCAAGAUCUAUCUAGGAGAUGCAUAGCAACAAGCGGGGAGAGUGUGUCCACGUACCCUCAUAGACCGAAAGCGGAAGCGUUUAGUACCGCGGUUGAUGUAGUUGAACGUCUUUGCGGUCCAACCGAUCCUAGCACCGAACCAUGGCACCUCCGUGUUCAGCACACAUUUAGCAUGAUGACGUCCCUCGAGCUCUUGAUCCUGUUGAGGACGAGGGAGAGUUCUGUCAGCACGACGGCAUGGCGACGGUGAUGAUGAAGUUACCGGCGCAGGGCUUCGCCUAAGCACUACGGCGAUAUGACCGAGGUGGUAAACUGUGAAGGGGGGCACCGCACAUGGCUAAGACAAUUGAUCUUGUGUGUUCUAGGGUGCCCCCUGCCUCCGUAUAUAAAGGAGGAGAGGGGGAGGCCGGCCGGCCCCUGUAGGGCGUGCCAGAGAGAGGAGUCCUCCUAGGACUCCAAGUACUAGUAGGAUUCCACUUGGUGGAAGGGGGAAGAAGGAAGGGAGAGGGAGAGGGGAAGGAAAGGGGGGCGCCGCCCCCUUCCCCUAGUCCAAUUCGGACUGCCAAGCAGGGGGGGCGGGAGGCAGCCCCUUGCGGUCCUUGUCUCUCUCCACUAAGGCCCAUGAAGGCCCAUUAGUUCCCCCGGGGGGUUCCGAUAACCCUCCGACACUCCAAUAGUUAUCCGGUACCUCUCGAAACUCAUCCGGUGUGCGAAUAACGUCGUCCAAUAUAUCAUUCUUUAUGUCUCGACCAUUUAGAGACUCCUCGUCAUGUCCGUGAUCUCAUCCGGGACUCUGAACAAACUUUGGUCAUCAAUUCACAUAACUCAUAAUACAAAUCGUCAUCGAACGUUAAGCGUGCAGACCCUACGGGUUCGAGAACUAUGUAGACAUGACCGAGCACAUCUCUGGUCAGUAACCAAUAGCGGAACGUGGAUGCUCAUAUUGGCUCCUACAUAUUCUACGAAGAUCUUUAUCGGUCAAACCGCAUAACAACAUACGUUGUUCCCUUUGUCAUCGGUAUGUUAUUUGCCCGAGAAUUCGAUCGUCGGUAUCCUCAUACCUAGUUCAAUCUCGUUACUGACAAGUCUCUUUACUCGUUCCGUAAUGCAUCAUCCCAUAACUAACUCAUAAGUCACAUUGCUUGCAAGGCUUAUAGUGAUGUGCAUUACCGAGAGGGCCCAAAGAUACCUCUCCGAUACUCGGAGUGACAAAUCCUAAUCUCAAUCUAUGCCAACCCAACAAACUAUUGGGGAACGCAGUAUUAUAACUUUUUACCUACGACCACGCAAGAUCUAUCUAGGAGAUGCAUAGCAACGAGCGGGGAGAGUGUGUCCACGUACCCUCGUAGACCGAAAGCGGAAGCGUUUAAUAACGCGGUUGAUGUAGUCGAACGUCUUCAUGAUCCAACCAAUCCAAGCACCGAACGUACGGCACCUCCGCGUUCAGCACACGUUCAGCUCGAUGAAGUCCCUCGAGCUCUUGAUCCAAUUGAGGACGAGGGAGAGUUUCGUCAGCACGACGGUGUGGCGACGGUGAUGAUGAAGUUACCGGCGCAGGGCUUCGCCUAAUCACUACGCCGAUAUGACCGAGGUGUGUAACUGUGGAGGGGGGCACCGCACACGGCUAAGAGUAGACUUGGUGUGUCUUUGGGGUGCCCCCUCCCCCGUAUAUAAAGGAGGGGGGAAGAGGAGGCCGGCCCUAGAGGGGGCGCGCCAAGAGGGGGGGGGGAGUCCUACUUGGACUCCCGGUCCAAGUAGGAUUCGCCCCCCAAUUUCCUAAUCCCACUAGGAGAAGGAGGGAAGGAGGAAGAGGAGAGAAGGAAGGAGGGGGCGCCACCCCCACCCCUUUUCCAAUUCGGAUUGGCAAGGGGGGCGUGCGCCACCUCCUGGCUGGCCCUCUCUCUUCUCCACUAAGGCCCAUGGUGGCCCAUUAACCUNNNNNNNNNNNNNNNNNNNNNNNNNNNNNNNNNNNNNNNNNNNNNNNNNNNNNNNNNNNNNNNNNNNNNNNNNNNNNNNNNNNNNNNNNNNNNNNNNNNNNNNNNNNNNNNNNNNNNNNNNNNNNNNNNNNNNNNNNNNNNNNNNNNNNNNNNNNNNNNNNNNNNNNNNNNNNNNNNNNNNNNNNNNNNNNNNNNNNNNNNNNNNNNNNNNNNNNNNNNNNNNNNNNNGGGGGGGGGGGUCCGGUAACCCUCGGUACUCCAAAACUUAUCCGAAACGACCCGAACCAUUCCGGUGUCCGAAUGUAACCUUCCAAUAUAUGAAUCUGUACCUCUUGACCAUUUCGAGACUCCUCGUCAUGUCCGUGAUCUCAUCCGGGACUCCAAACAAACUUCGGUCAUCAAAUCAGAUAACUCAUAAUACAAAUCGUCAUCGAACGUUAAGCGUGCGGACCCUACGGGUUCGAGAACUAUGUAGACAUGACCGAGACACAUCUCCGGUCAAUAACCAAUAGCGGAACCUGGAUGCUCAUAUUGGUUCCUACAUAUUCUACGAAGAUCUUUAUCGGUCAAACCGCAUAACAACAUACGUUGUUCCCUUUGUCAUCGGUAUAUUACUUGCCCGAGAUUCGAUCGUCGGUAUCAUCAUACCUAGUUCAAUCUCGUUACCGGAAAGUCCCUUUACUCGUUCUGUAAUGAAUCAUGCCAUGCCUAACUCAUUAGUCACAUUGCUUGCAAGGCUCAUAGUGAUGUGCAUUACCGAGAGGGCCCAGAGAUACCUCUCCGAUACCCGGAGUGACAAAUCCUAAUCUCGAUCUAUGCCAACUCAACAAACACCAUCGGAGACACCUGUAGAGCAUCUUUAUAAUCACCCAGUUACGUUGUGACGUUUGAUAUCAUACAAGGUGUUCCUCCAGUAUUCGAGAGUUGCAUAAUCUCAUAGUCAGAGGAACAUGUAUAACUCAUGAAGAAAGCAAUAGCAAUAAAACUAAAUGAUCAUUAUGCUAAGCUACCGGAUGGGCCUUGUCCAUCACAUCAUUCUCUAAUGAUGUGAUCCCGUUCAUCAAAUGACAACACAUGUCUAUGGUCAGGAAACUUAACCAUCUUUGAUUAACGAGCUAGUCUAGUAGAGGCAUACUAGGGACACUCUGUUUGUCUAUGUAUUCACACAUGUACUAAGUUUCCAAGUUAAUACAAUUCUAGCAUGAAUAAUAAACAUUUAUCAUGAUAUAAGGAAAUAUAAAUAACAUCUUUAUUAUUGCCUCUAGGGCAUAUUUCCUUCACAAACACCUUCGGAGACACAUGUAGAGCAUCUUUAUAAUCACCCAGUUAUGUUGUGACGUUUGCUAGCACACAAGGUGUUCCUCCGGUAUUCGGGAGUUUCAUAAUCUCACAGUCAAAGAAAUAUGUAUAAGUCAUGAAGAAAGCAAUAGAAAUAAAACUGAACGAUCAACAUGCUAAGCUAACGGAUGGUUCUUGUCCAUCACAUCAUUCUCCUAAUGAUGUGACCCCGUUCAUCAAAUGAAAACACAUGUCUAUGGUCAGGAAACUUGACCAUCUUUUGAUUAACGAGCUAGUCAAGUAGAGGCAUACUAGGGACACUUUGUUUGUCUAUGUAUUCACACAUGUAUCAAGUUUCCAGUUAAUACAAUUCUAGCAUGAAUAAUAAACAUUUAUCAUGAUAUAAGGAAAUAUAAAUAACAUCUUUAUUAUUUCCUCUAGGGCAUAUUUCCUUCAGUCUCCCACUUGCACUUGAGUCAAUAAUCUAGUUCAGAUCGCCAUGUGAUUUAACACCAAUAGUUCACAUCGUCAUGUGAUUUAACACUGUAUAGUUCACAUCGCCAUGUGACCAAUACCCAAAGGUUACGAGAGUCAAUAAUCUAGUUCACAUCGCCAUGUGAUUAACACCCAAAGAGUACUAAGGUGUGAUCAUGUUUUGCUUGUGAGAGAAGUUUAGUCAACGGGUCUGCCACAUUCAGAUCCGUAUGUAUUUUGCAAAUUUCUAUGUCUACAAUGCUGUGCACGGAGCUACUCUAGCUAAUUGCUACCACUUUCAAUAUGUAUCCAGAUUGAGACUUAGAGUCAUCCAGAUCAGGGUCAAAGCUUGCAUUGAUGUAACCCUUUACGACGAACUUUUUGUCACCUCCAUAACCGAGAAACAUAUCCUUACUCCACUAAGGAUAAUUUUGACCGCUGUCCAGUGAUCCACUCCUGGAUCACUAUUGUACCCUCUUGCCAAACUCAUGGUGAGGUACACAAUAGGUCUGGUACACAGCAUAGCAUACUUUAUAGAACCUAUGACUGAGGCAUAGGGAAUGACUUUUCAUUCUCUUUCUAUUUUCUGCCGUGGUUGGGUUUUGUGUCUUUACUCAACUUCACACCUUGUAACACAGGCAAGAACCCUUUCUUUGACUGAUACAUUUUGAACUUCUUCAAAACUUUAUCAAGGUAUGUGCUUUGUGAAAGUCCAAUUAAGCAUCUUGAUCUAUCUCUACAGAUCUUGAUGCCCAAUAUAUAAACAACUUCACCGAGGUUUUUCAUUGAAAAAUUCUUAUUCAAGUACCCUUUUAUGCUAUCCAGAAAUUCUGUAUUAUUUCCAAUCAACAAUAUGUCAUCCACAUAUAAUAUUAGAAAUGCUAUAGAGUUCUCACUCACUUUCUUGUAAAUACAGGCUUCUCCAAAAGUCUGUAUAAAACCAUAUGCUUUGAUCACCUUAUCAAAGCGUAUAUUCCAACUCCGAGAUGCUCGCACCAGUCCAUCAAUGGAUCGCUGGAGUUUGCACACUUUGUUAGCACCUUUAGGAUCGACAAAACCUUCUGGUUGCAUCAUAUACAACUCUUCUUUAAGAAAUCCAUUAAGGAAUGUAUUUUUGACAUCCAUUUACCAGAUUUCAUAAAAUGUGGCAAUUGCUAACAUGAUUCGGACAGACUUAAGCAUCGCUAUGAGUGAGAAAAUCUCAUCGUAGUCAACACCUUGAACUUGUCGAAAACCUUUUGCGACAAGUCGAGCCUUGUAGAUAGUAACACUACCAUCAGCGUCCGUCUUCCUCUUGAAGAUCCAUUUAUUCUCAAUGGCUUGCCGAUCAUCGGGCAAGUCCACCAAAGCCCACACUUUGUUCUCACACAUGGAUCCUAUCUCAGAUUGCAUGGCCUCAAGCCAUUUAUCGGAAUUUGGGCUCAUCAUCGCUUCCUCAUAGUUCGUAGGUUCGUCAUGGUCUAGUAACAUGACUUCCAGAACAGGAUUACCAUACCACUCUGGUGCGGAACGUGCUCUGGUUGACCUACGAGGUUCAGUAGUAACUUGAUCUGAAGUUUCAUGAUCAUUAUCAUUAUCUUCCUCACUAGUUGGUGUAGGCAUCACGGGAACGGUUUUUUGUGAUGAGCUACUAUCCAAUUCGAGAGAAGGUACAAUUACCUCAUCAAGUUCUACUUUCCUCCCACUCACUUCUUUCGAGAGAAACUCCUUCUCUAGAAAGCAUCCAUUCUUAGCAACAAAUAUCUUGGCUUUGGAUCUGUGAUAGAAGGUGUACCCAACAGUUUCUUUUGGGUAUCCUAUGAGGACGCACUUCUCCGAUUUGGGUUCGAGCUUAUCAGGUUGAAGCUUUUUCACAUAAGCAUCGCAGCCCCAAACUCUAAGAAAACGACAGCUUAGGUUUCUUGCCAAACCAUAGUUCAAAUGGUGUCGUCUCAACGGAUUUAGAUGGUGCCCUAUUUAACGUGAAUGCAGCUGUCUCUAAUGCAUAACCCCAAAACGAUAGUGGUAAAUCGAUAAGAGACAUCAUAGAUCGCAUCAUAUCUAAUAAAGUGCAGUUAUGACGUUCGGAUACACCAUUACGCUGUGGUGUUCUAGGUGGCGUGAGUUGCGAAGCUAUUCCACAUUGUUUCAAAUAAAGACCAAACUCGUAACUCAAAUAUUCGCCUCUGCGAUCAGAUCGUAGAAACUUUAUUUUAUUGUGACGAUGAUUUUCUACUUCACUCUGAAAUUCUUUGAACUUUUCAAAUGUUUCAGACUUAUGUUUUAUUAAGUAGAUAUACCCAUAUCUGCUCAAAUCAUCUGUGAAGGUCAGAAAAUAAUGAUACCCGCCGCGAGCCUCAACACUCAUCAGACCUCAUACAUCGGUAUGUAUUAUUUCCAAUAAUGUCAGUGGCUUGCUCCAUUGUUCCGGAGAACAGAGUCUUAGUCAUCUUGCCCAUGAGGCAUGGUUCGCAAGCAUCAAACGAUUCAUAAUCAAGUGAUUCAAAAAGCCUAUCAGCAUGGAGUUUCUUCGUGCGCUUUACACCAAUAUGACCUAAACGGCAGUGCCACAAAUAUGUUGCACUAUCAUUAUCAACUUUGCAUCUUUUGGCAUCAAUAUUAUGAAUAUGUGUAUCACUACGAUCGAGAUUCAAUAAACCAUUCACAUUGGGUGUAAGACCAUUGAAGGUUUUUAUUCAUAUAAACAUAACAACAAUUAUUCUCCGACUUAAAUGAAUAACCAUAUUGCAAUAAACAUGAUCUAAUCAGAUUAAUGCUCAACGCAAACACCAAAUAACAUUUAUUUAGGUUCAAUUCUAAUCCCGAAGGUAGAGGAAGUGUGCGAUGGUGAUCGUAUCAACCUUGGAAUUACUUCCAACACACAUCGUCACCUCGUCCUUAACUAGUCUCUCUUUAUCUUACAAGUCCUAUUUUAAGUUACUACUCAUAGUAACUGAACCAGUAUCAUUGCUAUAAACACUAGUAAAGUACACAUCAAUAAUAUGUAUAUCAAAUAUACCUUUGUUCACUUUGCCAUCCUUCUUAUCCGGCAAGUAUCUAGGGCAGUUCCACUUCCAGUGACCAGUCCUUUUGCAGUAGAAGCACUCAGUCUCAGGCUUAGGUCUAGACUUGGGUUUCUUCUCUUGAGCAGCAACUUGCUUUCUAUUCUUCUUGAAGUUCCCCUUCUUCCCUUUGCCCUUUUUCUUGAAACUAGUGGUCUUGUUAACCAUCAACACUUGAUGCUUUUUCUUGAUUUCUACCUUCGCUGAUUUCAGCAUUGCGAAGAGCUGGGAAUCGUUUUCGUCAUCCCUCGCAUAUUAUAGUUCAUCACGAAGUUCUAGUAACUUGGUGAUAGUGACUAGAGAACUCUGUCAAUCACUAUCUUAUCUGGAAGAUUAACUCCCACUUGAUUCAAGCGAUUGUUGUACCCAGACAUUCUAAGCAUAUGCUCACUAGUUGAGCUAUUCUCCUCCAUCUUGUAGGCAAAGUACUUUGUCAGAGGUCUCAUACCUCUUAACACGGGCAUGAGUCUGAAAUACCAAUUUCAACUCUUGGAACAUCUCAUUUGCUCCAUGUCGUUCAAAACAUUUUUGAAGUCCCGCUUCUAAGCCGUAAAGCAUGGUGCACUAAACUAUCAAGUAGUCGUCAUACCGAGCUUGUCAAACGUUCAUAACGUCAGCAUUUGCUCCUGCAAUAGUUCUGUCACCUAGCGAUGCAUCAAGGACAUAAUUCUUCUAUGCAGCAAUGAGGAUAAUCCUCAGAUCACGGACCUAGUCCGCAUCAUUGCUACUAUCAUCUUUCAAUUUAGUUUUCUCUAGGAACAUAUCAAAAAUAAAACAGGGAAGCUAUACGCGAGCUAUUGAUCUACAACAUAGAUAUGCAAAUACUAUCAGGACUAAGUUCAUGAUAAAUUUAAGUUCAUUUAAUCAUGUUACUUAAGAACUCCCACUUAGAUAGACAUCCCUCUAGUCAUCUAAAUGAUCACGUGAUCCUUAUCAACUAAACCAUGUACGAUCAUCAUGUGAGAUGUAGUAGUUUUCAAUGGUGAACAUCUCUAUGUUGAUCAUAUCUACUAUAUGAUUCACGUUCGACCUUUCGGUCUCAGUGUUCCGAGGCCAUAUCUGCAUAUGCUAGGCUCGUCAAGUUUAACCCGAGUAUUCUACACGUGCAAAACUGGCUUGCACCCGUUGUAUGUGAACGUAGAGCUUAUCACACCCGAUCAUCACUUGGUGUCUCAGCAGGAAGAAUUGUCGCAACGGUGCAUACUCAGGGAGAACACUUAUACCUUGAAAAUUUUAGUAAGGGAUUAUCUCAUAAUGCUACCAUCGUACUAAGCAAAAUAAGAUGCAUAAAAGAUAAACAUCACAUGCAAUCAAAAUAUAUGACAUGAUAUGGCCAUCAUCAUCUUGUGCCUUUGAUCUUCAUCUCCAAAGUACCGUUAUGAUCUCCAUCGUCACCGGCAUGGCACCAUGAUCUCCAUCAUCUUGAUCUCUAUCAACGUGUCGUCACAUGGUUGUCUCGCCAACUAUUGCUUUUGCAACUAUUGCUAUCGCAUAGCGAUAAAGUAAAGCAAUUAUAUGGCGCUUGCAUCUUAUGCAAUAAAGAGACAACCAUAAGGCUCCUGCCAGUUGCCGAUAACUUUAAAAAAA
RNAcentral lists this long non-coding RNA (22149 nucleotides) under Triticum aestivum (bread wheat). RNAcentral's name for it is "long non-coding RNA (TAES_LNC000827)". Lineage: Eukaryota; Viridiplantae; Streptophyta; Magnoliopsida; Poales; Poaceae. The record is from RNAcentral.